CCGUACUAGACGGGGAGUUAGCGGUGUCCUGUAACCCGCAAGCCGCUAUAGCGGGGUUGAAUCCCAUGCGGAGGGUUUUCUUUGUAGGGUAUGGAGUACAUUACUUGGCGUUGAGGGAUGGGUCCUGUGCAAUGUUGCGUUGUGAACCCUGUCAGGUCCUGACGGAAGCAGCAGUAAGCAAAUUGCAGCGUGUGCCGCAGGUUCGCCUGUUCUGAGUCAAUGAUGUAAAUUCCUCUUAUGAGGCCAAAAUUCGAUGUAUGGUGUACGG
This is a non-coding RNA of 268 nucleotides. It matches the Rfam family "Bacterial large signal recognition particle RNA". Rfam says of the family: The signal recognition particle (SRP) is a universally conserved ribonucleoprotein involved in the co-translational targeting of proteins to membranes. Archaeal SRP consists of a 7S RNA and homologues of the eukaryotic SRP19 and SRP54 proteins. The record is from Rfam.